This 493-nucleotide ribosomal RNA is filed under the name uncultured bacterium. RNAcentral's name for it is "bacterial SSU rRNA". It matches the Rfam family "Bacterial small subunit ribosomal RNA", at positions 29 to 517 of the family's 1533-position model. The record is from RNAcentral.
AGCGAACGUUUGCGGCGGGCUUAACACAUGCAAGUCGAACGAGAAUCCCUUCGGGGAGGAAAGUGGCGCACGGGUGCGUAACACGUGGAUAACCAACCCAUUGGUUUGGGACAACACCGGGAAACUGGUGCUAAUACCAGAUGUGUCGCAGCUGUCUUCAGGCGGUUGCGAGAAAGGCCCGCAAGGGUCGCCAACGGGACGGGUCCGCGUCCCAUCAGCUAGUUGGUGAGGUAAUGGCUCACCAAGGCAAAGACGGGUAGCUGGUCUGAGAGGAUGAUCAGCCACACUGGAACUGAGACACGGUCCAGACUCCUACGGGAGGCAGCAGUGGGGAAUAUUGCGCAAUGGGCGAAAGCCUGACGCAGCCACGCCGCGUGAGCGAUGAAGGUCUUCGGAUCGUAAAGCUCUGUGGGGGGAGAAGAAGAAAGCCGGUGAAGAGCCGGCCUGACGGUAUCCCCUUAGCAAGCACCGGCUAACUCCGUGCCAGCAGCCG